Molecule: ribosomal RNA, 792 nt
Filed under: uncultured bacterium
Lineage: Bacteria
Description: bacterial SSU rRNA
Rfam family: Bacterial small subunit ribosomal RNA
Source: RNAcentral
UAGGGUUUGAUUAUGGCUCAGAACGUACGCUGGCGGCACGCCUAACACAUGCAAGUCGAACGAAGUAGCAAUACUUAGUGGCAGACGGGUGAGUAACAUGUAGGUAUCUGCCCUUUGGCCUGGAAUAACACGAGGAAACUUGUGCUAAUACCGGAUAAGUCUUUACGGGGAAAGCUUUAUGCACCAUUGGAUGAGCCUGCACUUGAUUAGUUUGUUGGUGGGGUAAUGGCCUACCAAGACUGUGAUCAAUAGCUGAUUUGAGAGGAUGAUCAGCCACAUUGGGACUGAGACACGGCCCAAACUCCUACGGGAGGCAGCAGUGGGGAAUCUUGCACAAUGGAGGAAACUCUGAUGCAGCGAUGCCGCGUGAGUGAAGAAGGCCCUUGGGUUGUAAAGCUCUUUCGUCGGGGAAGAAAAUGACUGUACCCGAAUAAGAAGGUCCGGCUAACUUCGUGCCAGCAGCCGCGGUAAUACGAAGGGACCUAGCGUAGUUCGGAAUUACUGGGCUUAAAGAGUUCGUAGGUGGUUGAAAAAGUUAGUGGUGAAAUCCCAGAGCUUAACUCUGGAACUGCCAUUAAAACUUUUCAGCUAGAGUAUGAUAGAGGAAAGCAGAAUUUCUAGUGUAGAGGUGAANUUCGUAGAUAUUAGAAAGAAUACCAAUUGCGAAGGCAGCUUUCUGAAUCAUUACUGACACUGAGGAACGAAAGCAUGGGUAGCGAAGAGGAUUANAUACCCUCGUANUCCAUGCCGUANACGAUGUGUGUUAGACGUUGGAAAUUUAUUUUCAGUGUC